RNAcentral lists this ribosomal RNA (497 nucleotides) under uncultured bacterium. RNAcentral describes it as "partial 16S ribosomal RNA". It matches the Rfam family "Bacterial small subunit ribosomal RNA", at positions 28 to 507 of the family's 1533-position model. The record is from RNAcentral.
GAUGAACGCUGGCGGCGUGCCUAAUACAUGCAAGUCGAGCGAACAGACGAGGAGCUUGCUCCUCUGACGUUAGCGGCGGACGGGUGAGUAACACGUGGAUAACCUACCUAUAAGACUGGGAUAACUUCGGGAAACCGGAGCUAAUACCGGAUAAUAUAUUGAACCGCAUGGUUCAAUAGUGAAAGACGGUUUUGCUGUCACUUAUAGAUGGAUCCGCGCCGCAUUAGCUAGUUGGUAAGGUAACGGCUUACCAAGGCAACGAUGCGUAGCCGACCUGAGAGGGUGGUCGGCCACACGGGAACUGAGACACGGUCCAGACUCCUACGGGAGGCAGCAGUAGGGAAUCUUCCGCAAUGGGCGAAAGCUUGACGGAGCAACGCCGCGUGAGUGAUGAAGGUCUUCGGAUCGUAAAACUCUGUUAUUAGGGAAGAACAAAUGUGUAAGUAACUAUGCACGUCUUGACGGUACCUAAUCAGAAAGCCACGGCUAACUACGUG